GAUGUACGCUAGCGAUAGGCUUAACACAUGCAAGUCGAGGGGCAGCACAAGGUAGCUUGCUCUCUGGGUGGCGACCGGCGCACGGGUGCGUAACGCGUAUGCAACUUGCCCUAUACAGGAGGAUAACCCGUCGAAAGACGGACUAAUACUGCGUAUGCUCACAACUUGGCAUCAAGUGGUGAGGAAAGAAAUUCGGUAUAGGAUAGGCAUGCGUCCCAUUAGCUUGUUGGUGAGGUAACGGCUCACCAAGGCAACGAUGGGUAGGGGAACUGAGAGGUUUAUCCCCCACACUGGUACUGAGACACGGACCAGACUCCUACGGGAGGCAGCAGUGAGGAAUAUUGGUCAAGGGGCGCGAGCCUGAACCAGCCAAGUCGCGUGAAGGAUGACUGUCUUAUGGAUUGUAAACUUCUUUUAUACGGGAAUAACAAGAGUCACGUGUGACUCCCUGCAUGUACCGUAUGAAUAAGCAUCGGCUAACUCCGUG
Molecule: ribosomal RNA, 487 nt
Filed under: uncultured bacterium
Lineage: Bacteria
Description: partial 16S ribosomal RNA
Rfam family: Bacterial small subunit ribosomal RNA
Source: RNAcentral